Molecule: ribosomal RNA, 484 nt
Filed under: uncultured bacterium
Lineage: Bacteria
Description: partial 16S ribosomal RNA
Rfam family: Bacterial small subunit ribosomal RNA
Source: RNAcentral
AUUGAACGCUGGCGGCAUGCUUUACACAUGCAAGUCGAACGGCAGCGCGGGCUUCGGCCUGGCGGCGAGUGGCGAACGGGUGAGUAAUGCAUCGGAACGUGCCCAGUAGUGGGGGAUAGCCCGGCGAAAGCCGGAUUAAUACCGCAUACGACCUGAGGGGGAAAGCGGGGGACCGAAAGGCCUCGCGCUAUUGGAGCGGCCGAUGUCGGAUUAGCUAGUUGGUGGGGUAAAGGCUUACCAAGGCGACGAUCCGUAGCUGGUCUGAGAGGACGACCAGCCACACUGGGACUGAGACACGGCCCAGACUCCUACGGGAGGCAGCAGUGGGGAAUUUUGGACAAUGGGGGCAACCCUGAUCCAGCCAUGCCGCGUGCGGGAAGAAGGCCUUCGGGUUGUAAACCGCUUUUGUUCGGGAGGAAAUCCUCUGGGCUAAUACCCCGGGGGGAUGACGGUACCGGAAGAAUAAGCACCGGCUAACUACGCG